GACGAACGCUGGCGGCGUGCUUAACACAUGCAAGUCGAACGGAAAGGCCCUGCUUUUGUGGGGUGCUCGAGUGGCGAACGGGUGAGUAACACGUGAGUAACCUGCCCUUGACUUUGGGAUAACUUCAGGAAACUGGGGCUAAUACCGGAUAGGAGCUCCUGCUGCAUGGUGUGGGUUGGAAAGUUUCGGCGGUUGGGGAUGGACUCGCGGCUUAUCAGCUUGUUGGUGGGGUAGUGGCUUACCAAGGCUUUGACGGGUAGCCGGCCUGAGAGGGUGACCGGCCACAUUGGGACUGCGAGACGGACCAGACUCCUACGGGAGGCAGCAGUGGGGAAUAUUGCACAACGGGCGGAAGCCUGAUGCAGAAACGCCGCGUGCGGGAUGACGGCCUUCGGGUUGUAAACCGCUUUCGACUGUGACGAAGCGUGAGUGACGGUAAUGGGUAAAGAAGCACCGGCUAACUACGUG
Molecule: ribosomal RNA, 468 nt
Filed under: uncultured bacterium
Lineage: Bacteria
Description: partial 16S ribosomal RNA
Rfam family: Bacterial small subunit ribosomal RNA
Source: RNAcentral